This 200-nucleotide ribosomal RNA is filed under the name uncultured bacterium. RNAcentral's name for it is "partial 16S ribosomal RNA". It matches the Rfam family "Bacterial small subunit ribosomal RNA", at positions 335 to 526 of the family's 1533-position model. The record is from RNAcentral.
AUUCCUACGGGAGGCAGCAGGGGGGAAUUUUGGACAAUGGGGGCAACCCUGAUCCAGCAAUGCCGCGUGAGUGAAGAAGGCCCUCGGGUUGUAAAGCUCUUUUGUCAGGGAAGAAAAGGCUGUGGCUAAUAUCCACAGCUGCUGACGGUACCUGAAGAAUAAGCACCGGCUAACUACGUGCCAGCAGCCGCGGUAAUAAU